AAGCAUAAUCCGAAUGGACUUGAGCAUUGCCACGGGAGAAAACGUCUCGUCAUAGUCAAUACCAUAACGUUGGUGUUGCCCAGAGAUGGUCACCCAAGAGGGGGGUAAAUUGGGUGUUUUAAAACUUUUUGACUAAUUAAAACAAACACACACAAGUGUAUGUGCUAAAGUAAAGUUAAAGCUAUACGCACAGUCAAUCGCAAACACAACGAUUUAUAGUGGUUCGGAGCUUCCACUGCUCCUACAUCCACUCCCCAAAUACCUUUGGGAAUUUCACUAUAAUCCGCGAUUACAGUCCGGUAGUUUUGCGAGUGCACUACCCAACUCAUUGUUUUACACCGGGCUAACAACGAACCCUACAACCCCCAAUUUAACCUAGGCUUGGGACGCCUAUCCCUUGUUCCAAGUCCCUUGACUGGAACAAGCACAAUAAUCAAUGUUUUACAAAAGAUUUGAAAGCUCUUAAGAAGCAAAUAUAACAAUGAGAAAUAAUAAAACCCGGAAGAACCCUUUUAGCCGUUGGAAGCGUGGAAAAUGGUGGUUCUUCCGAUGUGGAUCGCGUUGGCUUGAACAUAAGCUUUGAAUGCCGAGUGGGAGAGAGUAGUUGAGCACGAAAUCAGAUGGAAAAGCUUGGAUGCACUUGAUUUCUUCUCUUGAAAGCUCUAACUCCCUUGAAGCUCUUUUUCUUUCUUCUCUCUUGAAUGAUCUUGUGUUGGGUUGGUGAGAAGUUGUUGGAAGGCACUUAAGAGCUCCCUUUUAUAGCCCAAAAAGCAAAUAGAUUCGUUAGACACAAAGAUAUGGAAGUUUGAAAUUCAAACAAACCUGUAAAAGUGUGUCAGUCGCGUCCCAGGCGCUCCGGAGACGUCUCCGCUUCAAUGCGAGACGUCUCGGCUGUAUGAAAUUACUUUUGACGAUGUUGGGAGUCGACUCGGUGCUUUACGGGGACGACUCUGAGGAUGAACAGUUUGAAUCCUUGUUUUUCUGUUUUUCUGAGAGAGUCGCCUCGGCACUUUACGGGGACGUCUCGGGAUGUUUGUGCUUUUUGCAUGGGGACGACUCCGCUGAUUUAUCUCUGAAAAACAAGUCUUCUGGAAUU
This 1096-nucleotide long non-coding RNA is filed under the name Phoenix dactylifera (date palm). Its description in RNAcentral is "long non-coding RNA (PDAC_LNC013934)". Lineage: Eukaryota; Viridiplantae; Streptophyta; Magnoliopsida; Arecales; Arecaceae. The record is from RNAcentral.